CAUGUACUCCCUCCGUUCGAAAAUACUUGUCCUAAAAAUAAAUAUAAUGAAUGUAUAUAUAAUUAAAAUAAGUCUAGAUACAUUCAUCUCUAGGACAAAUAUUUCCGGACGAAGGAAGUAAAUG
Hordeum vulgare subsp. vulgare (domesticated barley) is the source of this 124-nucleotide non-coding RNA. The record is from Rfam. NCBI's taxonomy places the organism in Eukaryota, Viridiplantae, Streptophyta, Magnoliopsida, Poales, Poaceae.